This 301-nucleotide ribosomal RNA is filed under the name uncultured bacterium. RNAcentral describes it as "partial 16S ribosomal RNA". It matches the Rfam family "Bacterial small subunit ribosomal RNA", at positions 509 to 807 of the family's 1533-position model. The record is from RNAcentral.
CAGUAGCCGCGGGAAUACGAGGGGGGCAAGCGUUGUUCGGAAUUAUUGGGCGUAAAGGGUGCGUAGGCGGUUUGACAAGUCUUAUGUGAAAUCCCCGGGCUUAACCUGGGAACUGCAUUUGAAACUGGCAGGCUAGAGUCUUGUAGAGGGGGGUAGAAUUCCAGGUGUAGCGGUGAAAUGCGUAGAGAUCUGGAGGGAUACCGGUGGCGAAGGCGGCCCCCUGGACAAAGACUGACGCUCAGGUGCGAAAGCGUGGGGAGCAAACAGGAUUAGAUACCCCAGUAGUCCCUGUCUCUUAUAC